GUGCCGUGGGCGGGGCCAACGGAUGGGCGUGGCUGGCACUGCGCCAGACUUAGGAAGCCUGGCCCCGCCUGCCGGGAGUGGAGCCUGCGGCGAGCGGCUGAGGGGUGAAGCUGGGUGAGUGCGGGCGGGGAGCCUGGCUCCGCCUCCCCCUGGCUCGCCUUUCCCGGCCGCCUUGAAUUUCCCGUUUUCAGUUCGUUCCCGACUUGUUUACGUUCAGGCCCACUGUUGCAGGUUGGUAGCGAAGGCGGGUGAACAUUGUUGCUUCGCUGCCUACGGUGGGUUCUUGUCUGGCAGUGCCAGGGCCGCCUCUUUCUGGCCCGCCGCCCCGCUCCGCGAGCCUAAAGGCCAUGAAAUUUUUUGUGUGAGAAAAAUCUCCAUUUUCUCUUUUAACUGGCGAGCGACUCGGUAGAGCACAGAAAUGUUUAAAGCUCUAUUGUGAUGACUUACCUUCCCGGGACCUCACCCGAGGGCGUUGCCUGACUCAGGCUUCUCUACCCUUGAGGAGGUCAGCUCCUGCCCUACCUACUCGCAGACCAAUUCGGAGAAACUCUUAGCAGACUUGUAUUGCAAACAUCCCGUCCUGGCAAAACCAAAUUCCCCAUGCAGAUUUGAAAAAAAAAAAAAACGUAUAUCCCUGAGGGUGAUUGUUAUUCAGGUUCUCAAUGUCUUUAUCUUUCUGCAAAAUGAAAAGUUACUCAUUUAAAAAUAAAGCAGAGUCCUCAUAUUUUGAAAAAGUUUCGCUUACAAGUGAUGGGGUAGGAUUACUGGUACAUACUCUUGUGAGACUUAGGACUGUCGCAGAUGGUACUUGAGCAAAUGAUUGACCCUUAUCCUACCCAACUCUAUUCUAGUUUACCCAGAAUUGUGGCUGUGUUGUGCAAGUUUUCAGCUAUCAGUAUUUCUUGAAGAAAGCAGGUUGAGUCUAAGGUUCUUGGGGUUUGGCUCUACCUAGGAAGGGGUUAGGUAUCUUUAGAAUGUCAAAUAACAAACUUGAGACAUAGACCAAGCUGUGUGUAUUUCAGGAACUUCUUGGGCUGAGAAAAACCGCCCAGGCACCUUCUUCAGUCUUUUGGGCUAUUCUAAAAUUCUAUUUAAAGAGAAUUGUUCAGUUGAGAGUGAAAAGAGUUGGGUUGCAGUUCUGGUGAACAGUAGCUAGCCAUGUAGCUUCCCGCAUCUUGGGCUCACCUUACUGUUCAGAACCCCACAUCAACUCUCUGGGGUUCACUGUGGGCUGACAUUGCCUAGUAAAAAUGGAAUUAAUUCCUCAGAGUUAACUACUGACCCCAGCUCCCUAGUUUCAUACAAUCUUGAUAUUAUAGAUAACUAAGUUAAUUAGGAAUAUUGUAGGCAGGCAGACAGGGCUGAGCCCUCAAAAGGUCAGUGCGGAAGACAACUGUGGCUGGAGGUGCACUUACUGAAGGCCACCUCUCGCCAUAUGCUUCCCGGCGCUUGAGCUGCACUGGUUGAUAUUCUAAAUAGACAUUAGUCACCUUGGAGUGCAGGACCUCCUUAACCCGCCCCCCCAUCAUAGUGCUUGUCUCUCCCAGGUGUCUUGCUAGGGAUUCCCUUCCCAAUUUGAUCCCUGUUUAAUACUGGUUGUAAUCUUACUGGUUGACUAUAGUUUUGCCCCAGCUCUCAUCCAUCCUGUGAUUUUCCAUUGGAUCAGUGUUGCCUAAGGGGCUAUGACUUACAAUCUUAUUGAUUGAAUAUAGUUCUGUCCCACCUUAAACCACCUCAUCACAUGGCUUUGCUCAAUAAAACAUCCUUGAGAGGCUGGAGUCAGUGGGCUACCCACCUUCCAGUCCCCACCUAUCCCUCUUAGACAGAAACUUUCUUGCAAUAAAUUCUUCCUACUUUUUACCUCCAUUGUUCCUAGAAUUCAUUCCUCAGUUUUAGAGAGCACAAACAGCGUUUUGGGCAUAUAACAGGUUAGGAAUUACAUUUCCCUCAUAUAAUUUGGAAGUCCUGUAUCCUACAUCCUGUAUCACUGAGACAUAAUUGAAGAUCAGGAAAUUCUGCAAGCCAGAUCUACAGGCUUAUAAUGAUUGUGCACAUAUAAAUCCUUCAAAAGACAAAAUUAUAAGUUAGUUUAAAGUUCUUAGUUUCACUUUUAUUAGAAUUAGUUUUAAUUUUAUAUAUUUUAUAAAUGCUACAAUAAGCACAGCAGACAAGAUAGGUUUUACAGAUUAAAAAAAAAGGAAUAAGAAGAAAAUGCAAGGCUGAAGAAAGCAGAAACAAGAAAAAAAAUGGAUUGUCGUAUGAGUUGUUUUCCUUGUAAAGCUGGGACAAAGAGAAAAAUAACGGAUCGAUCGACAUUGUGUUACUUCAGGUUACCUUUCUGAACAAAGAUUAAGGUAGAGGGAAUUGUAGUAUCAUGCCAUUUGGCACAGACCUGUUUGGGAAGUUUGACGGUUAUCUCUGUACCUUGAUUUCUCAAGACAAAUAUGUAGCUUUAUUACAGCUUAAGGAUGUGGAACUUUAGCAUAAGUAACUCUAUUUUUAUUUUUAGUCUGCUCUGUUGGCCCUUGUGUAGAGGUUUGUACAAAACAAGGACCUCCUCUAUAACUUUCACUUUCUAAUUCUUUCUCUGUUUUGAUGGAAUGUUAGAAAAAUAAAGCAUUUGCAGUAGAUAGGAAAAAAAACAAAAAAGAAAAGGCAAAUUCUUACUGGAUACCACUAAACUGAUUAGGAAACUAAGACAAAGGAAGAACAAAUGAUGUUUACAGAACCAGAAAUCCUUCUGUGCUACAGAACUUCUAUUUUAAAAGACUUGUGAAUAAAAGACCUUUCAUUAUUUUGUGUACCAGCAGUAAGCAACAGUGUAAACUCAGUUGGCAAACAGUCUGGGAAUAAUCUCCUGGUUUUGUUUCUCCAUUUUAUCUGGUUUGUCUGCAGAACUGUGCAGUCACAACAGCAAGGAUCAUAAAGAAGCUGGACCAAGACCAAGCAUAGCAAAGCCAGCCUCGGGAUUUAUAGAAGCUUGCCCGUUGACCCUAGAAACUAAGGAGUCAGGAGCAGAAGAGAAUCCAUGACUCAACCAAAGUUUCAAAACAUAAGCAUAAGUUGCCCUUAACUACUAAUUGUGAAGGCAGUCUUAGAAGAACUUUGCUUUCCUUUAUCAUGUUGAUUUUUAGAGUAAGAAUCUCCUUUUAAAGUGACACCAGCUUUACAUUUCACCAGGAUCCAAGUUUAUUUUUCUUUUAACUGGGAAAGAGGACAAAAUGGAAUUGGACACUGAAUGCUAGAAUCAUAGUUCAUUUAGAUUUCUGUAAUGUACUUACUCAUUGAGGGAUUUUUUUUUCCUUCACAUUUCUAUUCUCCCUGUUUUUUUCUCAAAGAAGAGUUACUUCUUCAGAGAAACUUACUGAGAUUUAGCGAAAUGAUUGGAAAACGUUUCUGCAAAUAUAGGGUCCUGAAUAUGCCUUUUGAAAAGUGCUCUUGGCACAGUCCCUAGACAGCUCAAUGUGUGGCUUCAGCUAGGCAUCUUGUGGCUUUGUCUCAGCUUUUAUAAGGGAAAUGUUUCUUCUGUGAAGGAAGGGAAGGCUGACUUGCCCCUUUAGAGACUUCAGCAUUGCCUUUUUUUUUUUUUCUUUUCUUCAUAACUUAGGUAUUCUUUCCUGCUUCUAAAUUUCUUACCUCCAGAGUUAAUAUUUAUUAUUCACUGACUACUUUCAUAUCAUGUAUACUUUUUAAUUAUUUUAUCAGUUGUUUCUAAUUUAAUUUUAAAAUUAUUAUUUUCUUUGAUGAACUGGCUACAUGACUUUUCCCCUCCUUAGAACUUGACCUAUAAUGUCUCAAGCCGUUUUCGAAUUGUCCUAAUAAUGAAUGCAGAUCACUUUUGAUUCAAUUAAUUACAGCACUGGGAAUUUUUGUUUUGUUCUGCUUGAUUGUGAAAAGACAGGAUCUGAUCUCUAAUGGGCUCUUUAGUUUUCCAAUUGUCAUCUCUUAGUUUCUUCCUCCAAAACAGGUCUUCCUAAGUAUAUUCAUGCUUUUUAGAAAAGAGGAGAAAACAGAGCGAAGAGAUGACAAACACAAACCAAAAAGGAGAGUGAAAUCAAAAGAAUGAGAAGUGGAACACUCGGCACUCGAAAGGCAUGGAGGAACUUCAGAUACACGUUACUAACGGAGCCAAUGUGAAAAUUACAUAAUGUCUUCUCCAAUCCUGUGACAUCCUGGCAAGGGCAAGACGACGGAGACACAAGACUUACCUCUGGUGUGGGCGGAGGCAGUGAUGCGUGGGUAGCGCCCCAGGAUUGCGAGGGCCGUGAAAUUACUCUGCUUGUACAGUCACGGUGGAUAUUUGUCUUUAUUCACUUGUCAAGGUUCAUAGAAUGUACAACAAGAAGAUUACACCCCAAUGGGAGCCAUCGGGUCUGGGUGAUAAUAAUUCAUCAAUAUAGUUUCACUGAUUAUAACUUACGUAAAAUUUAUAGGAGAUUGUUGGCUUAGACUGAGCUACUAUGCUAGGCUGCCAAUCUUAUUUUGCCUAAAGUUUUUCUAUUAUUAUAAGAGUGUACUACUCUGGUGCAGGAUUUUAGUAGUGGGGGAAGUUGUAUGAGUGAGGCAGAGGUGGCUGGGGUGACUCAGAAGUCCCAACACCUUCUGUUCAGUUUGGCCAUGAACCUAAAACUGCUCUAAAAAUAAAGUUUACUUUAAAAAUA
Long non-coding RNA from Cavia porcellus (domestic guinea pig), 4661 nucleotides. RefSeq lists it as uncharacterized. NCBI's taxonomy places the organism in Eukaryota, Metazoa, Chordata, Mammalia, Rodentia, Caviidae. The record is from RefSeq and is a predicted model, not a curated record. The transcript has 2 exons.